RNAcentral lists this ribosomal RNA (253 nucleotides) under uncultured bacterium. RNAcentral describes it as "partial 16S ribosomal RNA". It matches the Rfam family "Bacterial small subunit ribosomal RNA", at positions 524 to 776 of the family's 1533-position model. The record is from RNAcentral.
UACGUAGGGGGCAAGCGUUGUCCGGAUUUACUGGGCGUAAAGAGCGUGUAGGCGGCCAAACAGGUCCGUUGUGAAAACUGGAGGCUCAACUUCCAGACGUCGACGGAAACCGUGUGGCUAGAGUCCGGAAGAGGAGAGUGGAAUUCCUGGUGUAGCGGUGAAAUGUGCAGAUAUCAGGAAGAACCCCCGUGGCUAAGGCGGCUCUCUAGUACGGUACUGACGCUGAGACGCGCAAGCGUGGGGAGCGAACAGG